GCGCCUCUAGCUCAGUUGGUAGAGCACCUGACUCUUAAUCAGGGUGUCCAGGGUUCGAACCCCUGGAGGCGCACGA
This 76-nucleotide transfer RNA is filed under the name Clostridiales bacterium KLE1615. RNAcentral's name for it is "tRNA-Lys". It matches the Rfam family "tRNA". From Rfam's summary of the family: Transfer RNA (tRNA) molecules are approximately 80 nucleotides in length. Their secondary structure includes four short double-helical elements and three loops (D, anti-codon, and T loops). Lineage: Bacteria; Bacillati; Bacillota; Clostridia; Eubacteriales. The record is from RNAcentral.